Molecule: ribosomal RNA, 704 nt
Filed under: uncultured bacterium
Lineage: Bacteria
Description: partial 16S ribosomal RNA
Rfam family: Bacterial small subunit ribosomal RNA
Source: RNAcentral
UGCCCCCUCCCCCGGGAUAGCCGCCCGAAAGGACGGGUAAUACCGGAUACCCCGGGGUGCCGCAUGGCACCCCGGCUAAAGCCCCGACGGGAGGGGAUGGCUCCGCGGCCCAUCAGGUAGACGGCGGGGUGACGGCCCACCGUGCCGACAACGGGUAGCCGGGUUGAGAGACCGACCGGCCAGAUUGGGACUGAGACACGGCCCAGACUCCUACGGGAGGCAGCAGUGGGGAAUCUUGCGCAAUGGGGGGAACCCUGACGCAGCGACGCCGCGUGCGGGACGGAGGCCUUCGGGUCGUAAACCGCUUUCAGCAGGGAAGAGUCAAGACUGUACCUGCAGAAGAAGCCCCGGCUAACUACGUGCCAGCAGCCGCGGUAAUACGUAGGGGGCGAGCGUUAUCCGGAUUCAUUGGGCGUAAAGCGCGCGUAGGCGGCCCGGCAGGCCGGGGGUCGAAGCGGGGGGCUCAACCCCCCGAAGCCCCCGGAACCUCCGCGGCUUGGGUCCGGUAGGGGAGGGUGGAACACCCGGUGUAGCGGUGGAAUGCGCAGAUAUCGGGUGGGACACCGGUGGCGAAGGCGGCCCUCUGGGCCGAGACCGACGCUGAGGCGCGAAAGCUGGGGGAGCGAACAGGAUUAGAUACCCUGGUAGUCCCAGCCGUAAACGAUGGACGCUAGGUGUGGGGGGACGAUCCCCCCGUGCCGCAG